Molecule: long non-coding RNA, 1168 nt
Filed under: Pan troglodytes (chimpanzee)
Lineage: Eukaryota; Metazoa; Chordata; Mammalia; Primates; Hominidae
Description: long non-coding RNA NONPTRT014450
Source: RNAcentral
GUUCCGGUGGAGUGCUGGUUCGGGGUGGAGUGCUGGUUCGGGUGGAGUGCUGGUUCCGGUUGGAGUGCUGGUUCGGGUGGAGUGCUGGUUCCGGUUGGAGUGCUGGUUCUGGUUGGAGUGCUGGUUCGGGGUGGAGUGCUGGUUCGGGUGGAGUGCUGGUUCGGGUGGAGUGCUGGUUCCGGUUGGAGUGCUGGUUCGGGUGGAGUGCUGGUUCGGGUGGAGUGCUGGUUCGGGUGGAGUGCUGGUUCCGGUUGGAGGGCUGGUUCGGGUGGAGUGCUGGUUCGGGUGGAGUGCUGGUUCCGGUCGGAGUGCUGGUUCGGGUGGAGUGCUGGUUCGGGUGGAGUGCUGGUUCGGGUGGAGUGCUGCUUCCGGUUGGAGUGCUGGUUCGGGUGGAGUGCUGGUUCCUGUUGGAGUGCUGGUUCGGGUGGAGUGCUGGUUCGGGUGGAGUGCUGGUUCGGGUCGGAGUGCUGGUUCGGGGUGGAGUGCUGGUUCGGGGUGGAGUGCUGGUUUGGGUUUGAAUGCUGGUUCGGGGUGGAGUGCUGGUUCGGGUGGAGUGCUGGUUCGGGUGGAGUGCUGGUUCGGGGUGGAGUGCUGGUUCGGGUUUGAAUGCUGGUUCGGGGUGGAGUGCUGGUUCGGGUCGGAGUGCUGGUUCGGGUUGGAGUGCUGGUUCGGGGUGGAGUGCUGGUUCGGGUCAGAGUGCUGGUUCGGGUCAGAGUGCUGGUUUGGGUCGGAGUGCUGGUUUGGGGUGGAGUGCUGGUGUGGGUUGGAGUGCUGGUUCCAGUUGAGUGCUGAUUUGGGUCGGAUUGCUGGUUUGGGUCAGAGUGCUGGUUUGGGUCGGAGUGCUGGUUUGGGUCGGAGUGCUGGUUCGGGUUGGAGUGCUGGUUCCGGUUGGAGUGCUGGUUCCGGUUGGAGUGCUGGUGCUGGUUUGGGUCGGAGUGCUGGUUUGGGCGAGUGCUGGUUCGGGUUGGAGUGCUCCUUUGGUCACCAUGUGCUGGAUGUAAUAUUUCUGUACUACUGUUACCUCUUGUGUGAAAUGAGCAUGACAAUACCUAUCAUCUCAAGAUAGUUUUUGAGGAAUGAAUGAGGAGGUAUUUGUACAUUUGGACUUAAAUGUAAGACUUAACACACCCAGCCUGGGCAACAUGCUGAAACCUCGUCUCUACAAAAA